RNAcentral lists this ribosomal RNA (601 nucleotides) under Vibrio ruber. RNAcentral's name for it is "bacterial SSU rRNA". It matches the Rfam family "Bacterial small subunit ribosomal RNA", at positions 795 to 1398 of the family's 1533-position model. The record is from RNAcentral. Lineage: Bacteria; Pseudomonadati; Pseudomonadota; Gammaproteobacteria; Vibrionales; Vibrionaceae.
CCCGUCAGUAAACGUUUCUACGAGGCGGUGCAAAUUUGAGCCGCUUUUCAGGGAGAUAACGUGACAAGUACACCUCCGGGGGAGGGGGGUAGCACGAUGAAUUCUCAUAUGAAUUGACGGGGCCCCGCACAAGCGGUGGAGCACGUGGUUUAAUUUGAUGCAACGCGAAGAACCUUACUUACUCUGGACAUCCAGAGAAGCCGGAAGAGAUUUUGGUGUGCCUUCGGGAGCUAUGAGACAGGUGCUGCAUGGCUGUCGUCAGCUCGUGUUGUGAAAUGUUGGGUUAAGUCCCGCAACGAGCGCAACCCUUAUCCUUGAUUGCCAGCACUUCGGGUGGGAACUUCAGGGAGACUGCCGGUGAUAAACCGGAGGAAGGUGGGGACGACGUCAAGUCAUCAUGGCCCUUACGAGUAGGGCUACACACGUGCUACAAUGGCGUAUACAGAGGGCAGCUAACUUGCGAGAGUGUGCGAAUCCCAAAAAGUACGUCGUAGUCCGGAUUGGAGUCUGCAACUCGACUCCAUGAAGUCGGAAUCGCUAGUAAUCGUAGAUCAGAAUGCUACGGUGAAUACGUUCCCGGGCCUUGUACACACCGCCCGUC